Molecule: RNA transcript, 1655 nt
Organism: Dunckerocampus dactyliophorus (ringed pipefish)
Lineage: Eukaryota; Metazoa; Chordata; Actinopteri; Syngnathiformes; Syngnathidae
Exons: 6
Source: RefSeq, a predicted model, not a curated record
UAAUCCGGUGCAGUGGCUCAUGAAUUUAUUUUAUCUGUCAACCUCGCCCAUCAAAGUCAGUGGGCGGGGCUAACGCGAAUCUUGUCUUAUCCACUGCUUUGGUCUGCCGUGAAACCGAAAGUAGAAACAUGGCGGCUGUGUUGAUGGAGGAUCUCCGUGAACUUUCUACAGAGUUGGUGAGAGAUGUCUUAGACCUUGCAGAGUACGUGGAAGCAGGACCUGCUGACCCCGAGCAUGUAGCGUGUAAAGCAGAGGAACUUAUUGAAGUUGUUGGAGUUAUUUCCGCACUUUCUGACCAAGAUGUUGACCGUAGAGUGACUGCAAAUUUAGAAGAAGUACUUCGCCGCUUUUCUGGUACCAGGGUGCAACAGGAGCACACACAGGGACCAGGGCGUUUGGCAUUUGACAUACCCAGGGCCGCUCUGGAACAUCACGUUCAUUGUGGAUUACCAGCCUGUCAAAUUGCAGCGAUGCUCGGAGUGUCAAAGAGGACCAUCAGGAGGCGCAUGCAACAAUACGGUUUAAGAAAGACAGACCUGUAUUCAGCUGUGAAUGAUGAGGAGUUGGACCGUAUUGUAAGUGAAGUCCACAGAAGACAUCCCAACACCGGCUACAAGCUAAUGCGUGGUCAUCUGAAUGCACGAGGUGUGCGUGUUCCAAUCUCAAGACUGCAAGAGUCUUUACGCAGAGUUGAUGCAGAGGGAGUCUACAUGAGGCGUCUAAGACUGCGUGUAUUAAGACGACGGCAGUAUUCUGUUCCUGGCCCAAACUCUUUAUGGCAUAUAGAUGGCAAUCAUAAGCUCAUCAGGUGGAGAUUUGUUGUCCACGGUGGGGUGGAUGGAUUCAGUCGUUUAGUCGUCUACCUGACUGUGGCUGGCAAUAACAGAGCUAGUACGGUCUUACAGAGCUUUAUCGCUGCUGUUGAGCAGUACGGGCUGCCAUCAAGGGUUCGGUCUGAUAAAGGGGGCGAGAAUGCAGAUGUAGCAGAAUUCAUGAUCGGGAGCAGAGGUACCGACAGGCAGAAGGCAGAAGUGUCCACAAUCAAUGAAUAGAAAGGAUGUGGAGAGAUGUGUAUGAACAUGCCCUGGACCUCUUCUAUCAGAUCUUCACUUCAUUGGAAGAUCAGGGAACACUGAAUCCAGACAAUGAAGUCCAUCUUUUUGCACUGCACUGGAGCUUCCUUCCACUAAUCCAGCAAAGCCUCGACUCUUUCAGGGAUGCUUGGAACUUUCCUGGUCUUAGAACUGAAAGGAAUCAGUCACCACAGCAACUCUGGAGAAGAUACAGAGAGCAAGGCCCUAUGGAGGAUCCUACUGAGGUUUAUGAAGACUAUGGGAUCGACCGGAACGGACCUCACAGUCUUCAUGGAGGCACUGUGUCAGUCCCCGAGGUUGAAAUGAGCUGGCAGCUUUAGUGUUUCAAAGCAUGUGGCGGACGUAGGAAGGGUUCCCCCAGAGAUCUCCACUUUCAGUUCAGGAGGAAGCUUCUCCCAGCCAACCCAGAAUGUCAGCAGCUGGGCCAGUGUACCUGAUGAAGCUAAAAGUCAUAAAAUGGAUUCAAGACAACAUUUAGUUAAACUUUAAUUGAUCAUAUCUAUCCAUGAGACAUGGAAGCAUUUGUAAAGAGAACAACACAUUUUUAAAUAAAGUGUUAAU